AGAACCAUCUCUCUUAUAUCUGCCACCUGCCUUCUCUGACCUGCAGAUAUGAGAGUGUUGGUCCUGA
This 67-nucleotide non-coding RNA is filed under the name Sus scrofa (pig). Lineage: Eukaryota; Metazoa; Chordata; Mammalia; Artiodactyla; Suidae. The record is from RNAcentral.